RNAcentral lists this non-coding RNA (24 nucleotides) under Arabidopsis thaliana (thale cress). The record is from RNAcentral. Lineage: Eukaryota; Viridiplantae; Streptophyta; Magnoliopsida; Brassicales; Brassicaceae.
CCUGCUCUCUAGGCUCAGGCCUGC